GGUAAAUCCGGUUCACUUUAACACUGAGGCGUGACGACGAGGCACUACGGUGCUGAAGCAACAAAUGCCCUGCUUCCAGGAAAAGCCUCUAAGCAUCAGGUAACAUCAAAUCGUACCCCAAACCGACACAGGUGGUCAGGUAGAGAAUACCAAGGCGCUUGAGAGAACUCGGGUGAAGGAACUAGGCAAAAUGGUGCCGUAACUUCGGGAGAAGGCACGCUGACACGUAGGUGAAGUGAUUUACUCAUGGAGCUGAAGUCAGUCGAAGAUACCAGCUGGCUGCAACUGUUUAUUAAAAACACAGCACUGUGCAAACACGAAAGUGGACGUAUACGGUGUGACGCCUGCCCGGUGCCGGAAGGUUAAUUGAUGGGGUCAGCGCAAGCGAAGCUCCUGAUCGAAGCCCCGGUAAACGGCGGCCGUAACUAUAACGGUCCUAAGGUAGCGAAAUUCCUUGUCGGGUAAGUUCCGACCUGCACGAAUGGCGUAAUGAUGGCCAGGCUGUCUCCACCCGAGACUCAGUGAAAUUGAACUCGCUGUGAAGAUGCAGUGUACCCGCGGCAAGACGGAAAGACCCCGUGAACCUUUACUAUAGCUUGACACUGAACAUUGAGCCUUGAUGUGUAGGAUAGGUGGGAGGCUUUGAAGUGUGGACGCCAGUCUGCAUGGAGCCGACCUUGAAAUACCACCCUUUAAUGUUUGAUGUUCUAACGUGGACCCGUAAUCCGGGUUGCGGACAGUGUCUGGUGGGUAGUUUGACUGGGGCGGUCUCCUCCUAAAGAGUAACGGAGGAGCACGAAGGUUGGCUAAUCCUGGUCGGACAUCAGGAGGUUAGUGCAAUGGCAUAAGCCAGCUUGACUGCGAGCGUGACGGCGCGAGCAGGUGCGAAAGCAGGUCAUAGUGAUCCGGUGGUUCUGAAUGGAAGGGCCAUCGCUCAACGGAUAAAAGGUACUCCGGGGAUAACAGGCUGAUACCGCCCAAGAGUUCAUAUCGACGGCGGUGUUUGGCACCUCGAUGUCGGCUCAUCACAUCCUGGGGCUGAAGUAGGUCCCAAGGGUAUGGCUGUUCGCCAUUUAAAGUGGUACGCGAGCUGGGUUUAGAACGUCGUGAGACAGUUCGGUCCCUAUCUGCCGUGGGCGCUGGAGAACUGAGGGGGGCUGCUCCUAGUACGAGAGGACCGGAGUGGACGCAUCACUGGUGUUCGGGUUGUCAUGCCAAUGGCACUGCCCGGUAGCUAAAUGCGGAAGAGAUAAGUGCUGAAAGCAUCUAAGCACGAAACUUGCCCCGAGAUGAGUUCUCCCUGAGACUUAGAGUCUCCUGAAGGAACGUUG
RNAcentral lists this ribosomal RNA (1331 nucleotides) under Salmonella enterica subsp. enterica serovar Kentucky. RNAcentral describes it as "partial 23S ribosomal RNA". It matches the Rfam family "Bacterial large subunit ribosomal RNA", at positions 1535 to 2840 of the family's 2925-position model. The record is from RNAcentral. Lineage: Bacteria; Pseudomonadati; Pseudomonadota; Gammaproteobacteria; Enterobacterales; Enterobacteriaceae.